UAACAUUUCUAGCUUGCUAGAAGAUGACGAGUGGCGGACGGGUGAGUAAUGCUUGGGAACUUGCCUUUGCGAGGGGGAUAACAGUUGGAAACGACUGCUAAUACCGCAUAAUGUCUUCGGACCAAACGGGGCUUAGGCUCCGGCGCAAAGAGAGGCCCAAGUGAGAUUAGCUAGUUGGUAAGGUAACGGCUUACCAAGGCGACGAUCUCUAGCUGUUCUGAGAGGAAGAUCAGCCACACUGGGACUGAGACACGGCCCAGACUCCUACGGGAGGCAGCAGUGGGGAAUAUUGCACAAUGGGGGAAACCCUGAUGCAGCCAUGCCGCGUGUGUGAAGAAGGCCUUCGGGUUGUAAAGCACUUUCAGUUGUGAGGAAAAGUUAGUAGUUACUACCUGCUAGCCGUGACGUUAACAACAGAAGAAGCACCGGCUAACUCCGUGCCAGCAGCCGCGGUAAUACGGAGGGUGCGAGCGUUAAUCGGAAUUACUGGGCGUAAAGCGCACGCAGGCGGUUUGUUAAGCUAGAUGUGAAAGCCCCGGGCUCAACCUGGGAUGGUCAUUUAGAACUGGCAGACUAGAGUCUUGGAGAGGGGAGUGGAAUUCCAGGUGUAGCGGUGAAAUGCGUAGAUAUCUGGAGGAACAUCAGUGGCGAAGGCGACUCCCUGGCCAAAGACUGACGCUCAUGUGCGAAAGUGUGGGUAGCGAACAGGAUUAGAUACCCUGGUAGUCCACACCGUAAACGCUGUCUACUAGCUGUGUGUGCCUUUAAGGCGUGCGUACGAAGCUAACGCGCUAAGUAGACCGCCUGGGAGUACGGCCGCAAGGUUAAAACUCAAAUGAAUUGACGGGGCCCGCACAAGCGGUGGAGCAUGUGGUUUAAUUCGAUGCAACGCGAAGAACCUUACCUACACUUGACAUGCAGAGAACUUUCUAGAGAUAGAUUG
RNAcentral lists this ribosomal RNA (943 nucleotides) under uncultured Alteromonas sp. RNAcentral describes it as "bacterial SSU rRNA". It matches the Rfam family "Bacterial small subunit ribosomal RNA", at positions 70 to 1013 of the family's 1533-position model. Lineage: Bacteria; Pseudomonadati; Pseudomonadota; Gammaproteobacteria; Alteromonadales; Alteromonadaceae. The record is from RNAcentral.